This 167-nucleotide small nuclear RNA is filed under the name Pelusios castaneus (West African mud turtle). Its description in RNAcentral is "U1 spliceosomal RNA (ENSPCEG00000019218.1)". It matches the Rfam family "U1 spliceosomal RNA". From Rfam's summary of the family: U1 is a small nuclear RNA (snRNA) component of the spliceosome (involved in pre-mRNA splicing). Its 5' end forms complementary base pairs with the 5' splice junction, thus defining the 5' donor site of an intron. The record is from RNAcentral. Lineage: Eukaryota; Metazoa; Chordata; Testudines; Pelomedusidae.
UUAUUUACAUGGCAGAGGAAAUAGCAUGAUCACAGAGGUGGUUUUCCCAGGUUGAAGCUCAGCCACUGCAUUUCAGGUAUAGUAACUCCUGCAAUUUCCCCAAAUGUGGAAAAAACUACUGAAUAAUUUGUUGUUGGGUCAGGGGACUAUAUUUCAACUUCCUUUGG